AUGGCGCCGGCGGUGGGGAUCAAGCGGACCGCCGCGGCGCAGGCCGUCACGGUGCAGGCGCCGCCGCCGCCGCCCGACGCGCGGCUGGUGCGCGAGGCCGUGCGGACCUCCACGAUCGCCGAGGCCGUCGCGCCCGCGGCCCUGGAGGCGCCCGCGCCCGCGCUCGAGGGCUUCCUCUGCCUCGAGGAGGUGGAGGGCCGGCGGUGGAAGUACGUGGUGGAUGCGGCCCCCGGGAAGGGCAAGGGGAAGGGCCGGGGCAGGGGCGGGUCCGCCGUCCCCCUGGGGGCCUCCGUCAGGGCCGUGCCGCUCCAGUCGCCGCUGCCGCCCGCCGAGGAAAUAAUGGCGUUUGUAAGAUCGUAUGUUGUGCCUGAAGGGUUUCCAGACAGUGUUACUCCUUCAUACGUCCCAUACAUGACCUGGAGAGCUCUCAAGCAUUUUUUUGGUGGAGCAAUGGGCGUGUUCACAACAAGAACCUUGCUGAGCUCCGUUGGAGUCUCUCAAAGCAAGGUUACCCCGGGUGCCAUUGCUAUCAAUUGGAUCCUCAAGGACGGUGCUGGACGUGUUGGAAAAAUGCUUUUUGCGCGACAAGGGAAGAAGUUUGACAAUGACCUAAAGCAGCUCCGCUUUUCUAGUGAUCUCUUGCUGGAGAUAGGCGCUGGGAUAGAGUUAGCUACUGCAGCCUUCCCUCAGUUUUUCUUGCCUAUGGCUUGCGUUGCAAAUGUUGUAAAGAAUGUCGCUGCUGUUACGUCGACCUCAACUCGCACCCCAAUCUACAAGGCAUAUGCAAGAGGAGAAAAUAUUGGAGAUGUGACUGCUAAAGGCGAAUCCGUCGGGAACAUUGCAGAUCUGCUGGGCACUGGUUUGAGCAUCUUUAUCACAAAGCGGAACCCAUCGUUGGUGACUUCAUUUGCCCUCCUGUCAUGUGGAUAUCUCCUGAGUUCAUAUCAUGAGGUGAGGUCUGUUGUGCUGAAUACCCUAAACAGGGCAAGGUUUACUGUUGCAGUGGAUUCCUUUAUUAAGACAGGGUAUGUUCCCUCGUUGAAGGAAGGAAACUCGCAGGAGACGAUAUUUAUUCAUCCUUGGCGGCAUGAGCCAGUUUCAAUAGGAUCACGAUUUGGAGAAGCAUUUCAAGAACCCGUUUCAUUUGUUGCCACAAGGCCUUUGUUUGAGGAUGAGCGAUACAUGGUUACAUAUAACCCAACGAAGGAUAAAGUAUAUGCGUUACUCAAGGACCACGCAAAGCCAGAUGACAUUCUCAAAGCUGCUUUCCAUGCCCAUGUGUUGCUGCAUUUCAUCAAUGUAUCACAUGAACGGAAGAGGAUGAGCUCCAAUCGAUCAGAUCACUACGGGAACCCGCACCCACGGAACAUGGAUUUCCUGGCACACAUCGCAGAAUCCUGCAAAAUUGUGUCAUCCUCUUACGGAACAUUCAGGAAGAAAGCUAAAGAACAGGGUUGGAUAAUGUCGGAGUCACUUCUUAACCCUGGGAAGGCUCGAUUAUGCGUCACGAGACCGCAGUGA
Molecule: ribosomal RNA, 1521 nt
Filed under: Triticum aestivum (bread wheat)
Lineage: Eukaryota; Viridiplantae; Streptophyta; Magnoliopsida; Poales; Poaceae
Description: partial small subunit ribosomal RNA
Source: RNAcentral